CCUACGGGGGGCAGCAGUGGGGAAUAUUGGACAAUGGGCGAAAGCCUGAUCCAGCCAUGCCGCGUGUGUGAAGAAGGUCUUCGGAUUGUAAAGCACUUUAAGUUGGGAGGAAGGGCAGUAAGCGAAUACCUUGCUGUUUUGACGUUACCGACAGAAUAAGCACCGGCUAACUCUGUGCCAGCAGCCGCGGUAAUACAGAGGGUGCAAGCGUUAAUCGGAAUUACUGGGCGUAAAGCGCGCGUAGGUGGUUUGUUAAGUUG
RNAcentral lists this ribosomal RNA (260 nucleotides) under uncultured bacterium. Its description in RNAcentral is "partial 16S ribosomal RNA". It matches the Rfam family "Bacterial small subunit ribosomal RNA", at positions 338 to 590 of the family's 1533-position model. The record is from RNAcentral.